UACGUAGGGUGCGAGCGUUGUCCGGAAUUAUUGGGCGUAAAGAGCUCGUAGGCGGUCUGUCGCGUCGAAUGUGAAAACCCGGGGCUCAACUCCGGGCUUGCAUUCGAUACGGGCAGGCUAGAGUUCGGUAGGGGAGUCUGGAAUUCAUGGUGUAGCAGUGAAAUGCGUAGAGAUCAUGAGGAAGACCAGUGGCGAAGGCGGGUCUCUGGACAGUUCCUGACACUGAGGCACGAAGGCCAGGGGAGCAAACGGG
This 253-nucleotide ribosomal RNA is filed under the name uncultured bacterium. RNAcentral describes it as "partial 16S ribosomal RNA". It matches the Rfam family "Bacterial small subunit ribosomal RNA", at positions 524 to 776 of the family's 1533-position model. The record is from RNAcentral.